GAUCAUGGCUCAGGACGAACGCUGGCGGCAUGCCUAACACAUGCAAGUCGAACGGAGAUUAUUUCGAUAAUCUUAGUGGCGAACGGGUGAGUAACGCGUGGGCAACCUGCCCUCUAGAUGGGGACAACAUCCCGAAAGGGGUGCUAAUACCGAAUGUGACAGCAAUCUCGCAUGAGGAUGCUGUAGAAAGAUGGCCUCUAUUUAUAAGCUAUCGCUAGAGGAUCGGG
Molecule: ribosomal RNA, 227 nt
Filed under: uncultured bacterium
Lineage: Bacteria
Description: partial 16S ribosomal RNA
Rfam family: Bacterial small subunit ribosomal RNA
Source: RNAcentral